AUUGAACGCUGGCGGCAGGCCUAACACAUGCAAGUCGAACGGUAACAGGAAGCAGCUUGCUGCUUCGCUGACGAGUGGCGGACGGGUGAGUAAUGUCUGGGAAACUGCCUGAUGGAGGGGGAUAACUACUGGAAACGGUAGCUAAUACCGCAUAACGUCGCAAGACCAAAGAGGGGGACCUUAGGGCCUCUUGCCAUCGGAUGUGCCCAGAUGGGAUUAGCUAGUAGGUGGGGUAACGGCUCACCUAGGCGACGAUCCCUAGCUGGUCUGAGAGGAUGACCAGCCACACUGGAACUGAGACACGGUCCAGACUCCUACGGGAGGCAGCAGUGGGGAAUAUUGCACAAUGGGCGCAAGCCUGAUGCAGCCAUGCCGCGUGUAUGAAGAAGGCCUUCGGGUUGUAAAGUACUUUCAGCGGGGGGGAAGGGAGUAAAGUUAAUACCUUUGCUCAUUGACGUUACCCGCAGAAGAAGCACCGGCUAACUCCGUG
Molecule: ribosomal RNA, 490 nt
Filed under: uncultured bacterium
Lineage: Bacteria
Description: partial 16S ribosomal RNA
Rfam family: Bacterial small subunit ribosomal RNA
Source: RNAcentral